AUGCCGCAUCAUCCCGCCGCCGCAUCGCGCAACGGCGGCAAAGUCUUGGUCUACGUCGUCAUGAUCGCGUUAUCAGUAUCCAUCCUCCUGGCGUUCAUAGUUCACGUUGGCACCACUCCGAAGCAGAUCCUCCUCCCGACUUUCUCCGUCAGCCUAGAUGGUUUCGACGGGCUGCAGACGCCCGCGCCCGCGCCCGCGAUAUCGUCGACGUUCAACCUCACGCUCCACGCCGCGAGCAGCGGGAGCCCGCAGUCGCAGAGGCUCUGCCUGGAGGGUGGGUCGGUGGCCGUCUCCUACGCGGGCGCCGUGCUCGCGUGGGGACGCGUGCCUGGGUUCUGCGUGGAGCGGCACGAGCAGAAGUGCGUGAGGAUGGUCGCGCUCGGAACCGAGGUGGCGCUGACCGUCUACUGUCGUGCCGAGUGGAUAUAA
RNAcentral lists this ribosomal RNA (429 nucleotides) under Triticum aestivum (bread wheat). RNAcentral describes it as "partial small subunit ribosomal RNA". The record is from RNAcentral. Lineage: Eukaryota; Viridiplantae; Streptophyta; Magnoliopsida; Poales; Poaceae.